CUGGGUGCUGGCUUUUUUGUGUUCCUUUCCGUGGUUUCAGGCUUUGUGUGUGACACAGGGUUUCAAAAACAUGAAGUGGAUGUUCUGGGAAUGGUCUGAAGAGAAAGGACUGAAGAAGACUGAAGAGAAAAUUAGAGAUCAUAUAUAGGAAGUUUCGUCGGAGGAUCUAUCUAAAAUGCAGGUUUGGCCAUGACACCCCCUGGAAUGGAAGACUUCAGUGGCUCCCAGUAUGUUCAUUCAGCAAACAUCCAUGCAGAGUGCCCGCUAUGUGCCAGGUGCUGUGCUGGGCAGCAGGGUGCAGUGAUAAACAAGGUGACUGAGGUCCCUGCUCUUGUGGGGCUUAUAAUUUAGUGCAAGGUGGAGUGGGCGCCCCACCAAGAGAUGAGUGAACAGAUCUCAGUGCCCAGGGCCCAUGCCAGACCUGUGAAGUGGCUCUUGUAAACUGGGAGGAGAAUAUCUGUAGAGUCGUGCUUCCUGACUCCACCUUGUUCAGCGUCUGAUCAGUGGCUUCGAUGGAGAGUUAAAGAAUCCCCACACGUCUGUGAGUGAUACAGAGCUGGAAGAGAGAGCUUGUGCCCUGAUCCGGGGUACUCAGGUUUAACCUUGGCUGCAUGUCACACUCCCCUGGGGAGCUUAAAAGGCGCCCUGACUGAGCACAUCAAAGUCUUGGGGGAGAAGAGCCCUGACACCGGCACCCCACCACUCCCUUCGUGUUCUGUAUACUCUCUGCCUUGGCUCAGGCCGUCCUUUCUCCAUCAUGCUUCUCGGGUUUGGUCCCCGGACCAUCAGCAUCAACAUCAGGUGGGAACCUGUUAGGAAUGCAGAUUCUUGGGCCCCACCCUAGACCCACUAAUCAGAGGCUCUGGAAAUGGGACCCAGACAUUUGUCCUUUAACAAGCUCUCCGGUGAUUCUGACACAGCUAAAGCUCAAGAACCGCCGCCCCAGGAUGCUCUGCUCCCCUGACAAGGCCUCAUCUUUUGAGCCUUAGCUCAAGUACCGUCGCCUCUGACAAGACUGCUGGGCAUCCUAACUCCCUGUUUGCCAUCUGUCCUAGCCCUGCAGAUACUCAGUCGUCACGAUGAUUUUAGGAGUCUGUGCCUGUGCUAGACUCUGGGUUUCCCGGGGGAGGGACUUUUCCCUUAUUCAGCUUUAUACUCCGAGGCCUAAAAUAGCACUGGAGCAUCGUGGGAGCUUCCACAAAUGUGGCUGGACGGAAUUCAACUAUCUUCGUGGUCUUGGCCAGUGGAAGAGGGAACCCUGCAUGCAGGUCCUGGAUGCAGCGUUCAGAGAUGCUCGGACCAGCAGGCAGUGCUGGCUCCGGGGCUCACCGCCUCUUGUUCCCACUUGCUGCUGGCCCCUCUAUCCUGACUUGACAGUGUCCUGAAUCUGAAAAUGGAAGUAGGCUGUGUAUCCCACAGACGAGGAGCACACACUGGUGCCCUGGAGGCUCAGAUACAAUUCAGGACCUGCUCAGGUGCAGCACCUGACAGCACCUUCUAAUCCAGCAAAGAUGUGAGGAGGAGUCUCCAGAGAGAGCUAUGGAUUUUUAGGACGUGGGACUCAGUAAAAUAUCUGCACUGUUUUCUUUAGUCUUCUGUAGGUCGUGUGCCUCAAAUGGGGAUUAGGUUAUAAUUUGGUUCUUUGUGUUCUAAGCAUCAGAAUACUGAAAAUGGAAUCUGAUUUAUUUUUUUCCUCUUAAACACUGAUGUCUUGCUGUGUGCCAUGGCUCACCCUUCAACAGUUUACCUGUGUUAUUUAGCCCUGUGCUUUGAUGAAAUGGAUGAGAGUUUAGCAGUGUAAGCCUGUGCAGUGUUGGGAAGGAUGCUAGACAGGAACACAUGUUUACUCAGCACUUACUACUCACAGGUGCUGUUGUAGGUAAUUUUGCAGAAGUGUCUUAUUUGAUCCUCAUUCUACUGUUAUAUAAGAUAGGCGACAUAUUUGUUCUAUGUUGAAAAAACUGAGCAUUAGAGGGUCUGAGAUGCUUGUUCAGGCCUGAGAGGUGAUACCUGGUAGUUGUAGAGUUAGUAAAUAUUUGUCUGGAACUUGGUUAUACUUCCUUUAUGUUCAAGGCUUUUUCCAUAUACUUAGCCUGUGAGAGGUACAUGAAGUAAAAGUUAUCUUAAAUUUUCAAUUCUGGUUUAUUAUCACUGAUAAGUCUUUCUGAAACAAUUUUAAUAAAUUGUUUUCAAUAAAUUUUUAGGAAUAAUAAACAUGAGACGUGUGGAUUCAAGUCUAGCUUUGUCUUAUA
This is a long non-coding RNA of Diceros bicornis minor, 2252 nucleotides long. RefSeq lists it as uncharacterized. Lineage: Eukaryota; Metazoa; Chordata; Mammalia; Perissodactyla; Rhinocerotidae. The record is from RefSeq and is a predicted model, not a curated record. The transcript has 3 exons.